UCCGUAGGUGAACCUGCGGAAGGAUCAUUACCGAGUGCGGGCCCUCUGGGUCCAACCUCCCAUCCGUGUCUAUCUGUACCCUGUUGCUUCGGCGUGGCCACGGCCCGCCGGAGACUAACAUUUGAACGCUGUCUGAAGUUUGCAGUCUGAGUUUUUAGUUAAACAAUCGUUAAAACUUUCAGCAACGGAUCUCUUGGUUCCGGCAUCGAUGAAGAACGCAGCGAAAUGCGAUAAUUAAUGUGAAUUGCAGAAUUCAGUGAAUCAUCGAGUCUUUGAACGCACAUUGCGCCCCCUGGUAUUCCGGGGGGCAUGCCUGUCCGAGCGUCAUUGCUGCCCUCAAGCACGGCUUGUGUGUUGGGCUUCCGUCCCUGGCAACGGGGACGGGCCCAAAAGGCAGUGGCGGCACCAUGUCUGGUCCUCGAGCGUAUGGGGCUUUGUCACCCGCUCCCGUAGGUCCAGCUGGCAGCUAGCCUCGCAACCGAUCUUUUUAACCAGGUUGACCUCGGAUCAGGUAGGGAUACCCGCUGAACUUAAGCAUAUCAAUAAGCGGAGGA
RNAcentral lists this ribosomal RNA (554 nucleotides) under uncultured Aspergillus. RNAcentral's name for it is "eukaryotic LSU rRNA". The stretch from base 174 to 327 matches the Rfam family "5.8S ribosomal RNA". The record is from RNAcentral. Lineage: Eukaryota; Fungi; Ascomycota; Eurotiomycetes; Eurotiales; Aspergillaceae.